RNAcentral lists this long non-coding RNA (1185 nucleotides) under Nothobranchius furzeri (turquoise killifish). Its description in RNAcentral is "lncRNA (ENSNFUG00015014108.1)". Lineage: Eukaryota; Metazoa; Chordata; Actinopteri; Cyprinodontiformes; Nothobranchiidae. The record is from RNAcentral.
AUGCCCAAAUCCAGAUUUAGAUGCUUUGGCGAUGCGUCCGACCUCACGUCCAACCUCACCUUCUGCAUCCAACCUCACCUUCUGCGUCCGACCUCACCUUCUGCGUCCGACCUCACCUUCUGCGUCCGACCUCACCUUCUGCGUCCGACCUCACCUUCUGGGUCCGACCUCACCUUCUGCGUCCAACCUCACCUUCUGGGUCCGACCUCACCUUCUGCGUCGGACCUCACCUUCUGCGUCCAACCUCACCUUCUGCGUCCGACCUCACCUUCUGCUCACCUUCUGCGUCCGACCUCACGUCCGACCUCACCUUCUGCGUCCGACCUCACCUUCUGCGUCCGACCUCACCUUCUGCGUCCGACCUCACCUUCUGUGUCCGACCUCACCUUCUGUGUCCGACCUCACCUUCUGCUCACCUUCUGCGUCCGACCUCACCUUCUGCGUCUGACCUCACCUUCUGCGUCCGACCUCACCUUCUGCAUCCGACCUCACAUCCGACCUCACCUUCUGCGUCCGACCUCACCUUCUGGGUCCGACCUCACCUUCUGCGUCCGACCUCACCUUCUGCGUCCGACCUCACCUUCUGCGUCUGACCUCACCUUCUGCGUCCGACCUCACCUUCUGCAUCCGACCUCACCUUCUGCAUCCGACCUCACAUCCGACCUCACCUUCUGCGUCCGACCUCACCUUCUGCAUCCGACCUCACAUCCGACCUCACCUUCUGCGUCCGACCUCACCUUCUGCGUCCGACCUCACCUUCUGCUCACCUUCUGCGUCCGACCUCACCUUCUGUGUCCGACCUCACCUUCUGUGUCCGACCUCACCUUCUGUGUCCGACCUCACCUUCUGUGUCCGACCUCACCUUCUGCGUCCGACCUCACCUUCUGCGUCCGACCUCACCUUCUGCGUCCGACCUCACCUUCUGCCAAGACGUCCCGUUCAAAGGCCCGGCCGGUUCAGACCGCCUGGACUAAGAGGAUUUUCCUGCUGGAGGACGGUGAUCCACCAGCGGGAGACGACGCUGUCCGGUCUGAUCCGACUUUAGUUGUGGUUGUUGGACAUCAGACCAGCCGGCCCGGUGGACUCGACAGUCCAGAACCAACACACAUGCAUCAGUUUGUCUCGUUGGGAAGAGUCCAACCAAGCCUGAGAUUGGUCCUGCUUCCUGUCCAACCAAGUCCUUAA